RNAcentral lists this ribosomal RNA (254 nucleotides) under uncultured prokaryote. Its description in RNAcentral is "partial 16S ribosomal RNA". It matches the Rfam family "Bacterial small subunit ribosomal RNA", at positions 524 to 776 of the family's 1533-position model. The record is from RNAcentral.
UACGUAGGGACCAAGCGUUGUUCGGAUUUACUGGGCGUAAAGGGCGCGUAGGCGGCCUCUGCAAGUCGACUGUGAAAUCUCCGGGCUUAACCCGGAACGGUCAGCCGAUACUGCAGGGCUAGAGUGCAGAAGGGGCAACUGGAAUUCUCGGUGUAGCGGUGAAAUGCGUAGAUAUCGAGAGGAACACCUGCGGCGAAGGCGGGUUGCUGGGCUGACACUGACGCUGAUGCGCGAAAGCUAGGGGAGCGAACGGG